Molecule: long non-coding RNA, 1959 nt
Organism: Mustela erminea (ermine)
Lineage: Eukaryota; Metazoa; Chordata; Mammalia; Carnivora; Mustelidae
Exons: 3
Source: RefSeq, a predicted model, not a curated record
AAGCCACAGGGGGCCUUAGGAGGAUUUUGAGAGGUAAAAUGAUAAAAUCAUAUCUGAGUUUUGGCACGAUUGCUCUAGCACAGUAUAAAGGGUGGACUGAUGGUGAAGAAUGGAAGCAACUGAAAGCAGAGAGACUACUGGGGAUAGUCUCAGGAACUGGAGGCGAGAGCGUAUCAGAUCCUCAAGUGAGUGGCAUGGAAGAGAAGUAAGAUUACUUUAAGGUACUGUCUUCCUCUCCCCAAAUGGUUAGAGAUGAAAAAAGAUAUUAAAGUAGCCACUGGCAAAUUUCAAAUUCAAAAAGUGUUUCUUUUCAUCAGAGUCUGGCAUGCUGUUGCUGACCUUAAGAUGACUUGGCAUUAAGGGUUUCUACAAAUAUUGCUGAUUACGCAGCAGGAUGGGUAAUUUUCAGAAAGUACACACUUCGGAUCCCAAUGGUAACAGGGGCUCACUGUGGAACCCACUUAGAGCCCUCCUGAUGGGAAGAGAAAUCAGCUGAUAAAGGUGACAUUCCUGGCAUCUUGGACUCAAAUGGCAACUUAAUUUUCUUCUUCUAAAGUUCAAAUAGGGGGAAAAAAAGCCUCAACAAUUUUUAAUGGCCUCACCAUUCCUUUCAGCUCUUGGGAGUGUCAUUUGCCUUAUGCUUCAAACUGUGGAAAGGGGCUCCUUUUUGGUUAAAUGUGACCUAAAUGUCAAAUGCUCUUUGGAUGGGUCCUUCAACAUGGAACCUACUAGAUUUGAGAACACCUUCUGGUUUGUACUUUAACGACGUUACAGAAAAAUACGGGCUGCAAAUAUGGAGGUAUUUUGGUGAAUAAGAUAAAUUUUUGGCAUCUGAAGUUGUUCUUGCUAGCGUUUCUCACUAUUUUUUCCCCAUUAAUUUCUUUGUCUAUUCUAUCUGUGCUCUCCAGUGGCUUCACGGGUAGAAGUACCAGAGGCAGUACCUAACCAGCCACUUCUUCAUUGCACCAGCCCCCGAGGGACAGGGGGCUUCUAACUCUGUGUUAUGGUCAGAUGGGAACAAAACGAACAUUAGGAGAUUAUGGUGAUAAGGAUGAUGCUGCCUGUACAGCCUCUGGAACUCUUGGCGCACACACAGCGGACUGCUGGGUGAAAACAGAGCCUUCAAACGACUUCAUUUCCUUUAAAGAGCAACAGGUUUUGUUUGGACAAACAGUACUUCUUUUGUCUGGGUUUGAUUUCAAACCAGCUCAUUCUCCAGAAGCAUUCAGAUUUUUAUUGAGCACUUACUAUGGGGGCAGGACUGUUCCAGGUUCUGGGGCCAGAGGAAUAAAAACGGCACAGCUGACUCCCUCCUUCUAGGAGUCAUCAUCAUCCACUGUGGAUACGGGGGAGCCCAGCACCCUCCUUACUUCAGCAUUGCCACAGUAGUGUACGGAUGUGCUAGCGAUGCACUGUUCAUUUUGUAUUAUCAACCGUAUGAACACACACACACACACACACACACACACACACACACACACACGUGCUUGUUAUUGUGACAGAGAAUGAAUGAAAUCUGUCAAUAUUCAUUUCUGGAGCCAUCCACAGUACUCUCUGCCUCGUUUUACUUGUCAUACUUCAAAAGGAAAAAGGCAGUAUGGAACAUAUUCAUAACAAAGCAACCUGAAUGUUGAAACCAUGUGAUAUUAGAAGCGAUUGCUGAAGGAGAUUCAGCAAUGGGUGUCAUCACGAUGAAUGGUUUCUUGUCAAGUUAAUAAAUAACGACUAAGGUGUGAUAAGAGAGCCCACUAACACUAAGAACGUUCUACACCGCAAGGGAAGGAACAAGAAUCCAAAAUUACGGUAUCUUUGAAAUGCUUAUCCUGAAUUAUGAUUUAACGUAACCUCUUCUUAGGUCUCAAGUUCUUGAAGGACGGCUCUUGCAUCUGUAUACUCCCUUACCGAUUAGCAGAGCACAUUCGUGAAAAAGUCAGUGACAAUAAAGUCACCAUAAUCACA